AAGUGUACGCAUAAUUAAUGUAAAAUUUUAUACAUUUGUAGAAAUAGGAAAAUAAAGGAAACUUUUUUUCCUAAUUGCAUACAAUACCGGUAGGCAAUUAUGCUUUAUUGAGUAUGAGCAUAUUUGUUAGGACCCGAGAGGCUUUGAACUAAGCGUGAUGAGAUUGAAGUCAGACGAAAGUCUGAUGGAGGAUCGAAUUGAUACUGACGUGCAAAUCGUUCAUUUCAAUCACGUUUAGGGGCGAAAGACUAAUCGAAAAGCCUAUUAGCUGGUUAUUUUCGAAAGAUCUCUCAGGAUCGCUGGAGUUGAUACAUAUAAUUUUACCAGGUAGAGAUAAUGAUUAGAGGACUCAGGGAAACAGUUUUCCUUGACCUAUUCUCAAACUCCCAAUAGGUAAAAAGAGUAAUAUAUCUUAAUUUUUUUUGUAUAUUACUCACUUAAAUAAAAUAACUCCAAGUGGGCCAUUUUUGGUAAGCAGAACUGGCGAUGAGGGAUGCUCCUAACGCUUGGAUAAGGUGCCUAAACUAUUCGCUCAUCAGAUCCCAUAAAAGGUGUUGGUUCAUAAGGACAGUAGGACGGUGGUCAUGGAAGUCGAAAUCCGCUAAGGAGUGUGUAACAACUCACCUACCGAAUGAACUAGCCCUGAAAAUGGAUGGCGCUAAAGCGAAUUACCGAUACCAAGCCAUAAAAAGAAGAGAAAAGGAUGUUACAUCCUUUUUAGAACCUUUUUAUGAGUAGAAAAUCGUGGGGUUUGUGUAGAAGCAAAAUACGUGAGUUUUUGUGGAACAUAUCCCUAGUGCAGAUCUUGGUGGAAGUAGCAAUUAUUCAAAUGAGAACUUUGAAGACUGAAGUGGAGAAGGGUUUCUUGUCAACUGUGAUUGUACAAGAGUUAGCCGCUCCUAAGAGGUAGCUGAAAAGUGUUUAAACAUAGAAGGAAAUAUAAGGAAAUGUAUAUAUGCCUUCUUGUCUCAAAAGGGAAACAGGUUAAUAUUCCUGUGCCGAAGGGAAAUAAGCGUGCUUAUAUAGAUGGUAACAUAUAUACAAAUGAACUCCUUUACAUAGGCUUUACUCUCGGGGUGCGUUUUCUUUGCACUUUACCUUUAUAGUAAACCUUGGAAUCAAUUUACUUGGAGAAAAGGUUUACUGAACUCAAUUCAAAAAAAUAAUUAUAUGGGAAGGAAACCCCUUCCUGUAUUUUUAGUAUUUUUGUUUUGUAGCAAUAAUAAUUCGUUUUUCUGAAUUAUCCGAAGUAGUAAGGACUAUCCUUGAAAAAAGGGGGGAACAGCCAAUAAAGGGGAAGUAGGAUUUCGCCAACAUAAACUCUUUAUUUGUAACUCUUAUUUCUUGUAUGAGCGUACCAACAACCGCAUCAGGUCUCCAAGGUUAACAGCCUCUGGUUAAAUAGAAAAAAGUAAGUAAGGGAAGUCGGCAAAAUAGAUCCGUAACUUCGGGAUAAGGAUUGGCUCUGAGGACAUUAGAAAAAAGAAGAAAGAGACGGAAGAAGAAAUAGAGGUAUAGAGGUAUUUACAUAGCGUAAGUUAUAUAAGUACUUCUAUACCUUGUUUUUCUUUUUUAAUCUUUUUCUCACCCUUUUUUCGCCUUCUUUUUAUAUUAUAUGCAAAUAUAAUAUAAAAGGAUACCUAUAAUGUUAACUCAGAACUGAAACGGACAAAGGGAAUCC
Ribosomal RNA from Plasmodium relictum, 1681 nucleotides. NCBI's taxonomy places the organism in Eukaryota, Apicomplexa, Aconoidasida, Haemosporida, Plasmodiidae. The record is from RefSeq and is a predicted model, not a curated record.